UACUUUGCGCAGCGGCACUAUCGUAGCUCAUGAGGAUAAACCGAAGGGCGAUUAUUGCUUGUUGAAAACUUUCCCCAGUACUCCCCCCGCCGGGAGGACUUGAAACACAGGAAUCCAUGGCAAGUUUUGGUGGUCUCCACAGAGA
Molecule: small nuclear RNA, 145 nt
Organism: Sphaerodactylus townsendi
Lineage: Eukaryota; Metazoa; Chordata; Lepidosauria; Squamata; Sphaerodactylidae
Product: U4 spliceosomal RNA
Exons: 1
Source: RefSeq, a predicted model, not a curated record